GUGCGAACAGUCUACUCUAACGCAGUAAUGCCGACCAGCUCCAACCGGGUGCCGCCAAAUCGAACCCUGGUUCGAAUUCCGCACGGCCGUGGCUGCGGAAAGAAACAAAAGAAAGUGGAGGAAGAGGAAGAGGAGGAGGAGGAAGAGGAGGAGGAGGAAGAAGAGGAAGAGGAGGAGGAAGAGGACAGGAUGAAGAGAAGAGGAUAACGAUAACGAAGACAACGGCAACGAGGAAGAUAACGACGACGGCGACGAACACGACGUGGAAGGUGAAUAAAAAGAAGUCACGAAGGUGGAAGAGAAAGAAGAAGAAAAAGGAAAUAACAGUGCACGCUCACACAUGCCCAUUACGGAGGACAAACAAAACGGAGGUUUUAGCUCCAUUUCAAACAGUACGACGAUGUAAAUAAUAAGGCAACAACAGAAUCGAGGACACACUUGCUUUACUACAUCAUCCUUUUUGAUGCCAUUCUUUAGACUUUGAAUGUCGUAAGAAGAGCGAGCAAGAAUGAAAGAGAAACAAGGGAAACGCUGAGAGCAACAUCGCGAAAAAAAGUGUCUUUCAAAGCGGAUACUCGCUCUCUCCUACACAUAAGAGCAGAAUGUUUUGUCAUUCCGCGCAUUUACUCGAACACGCGUAUCGGAUAUGCGUUCUACGAUACAAGAAGCAAUUCUCUAAGCGAAGCUGUCGAGAAGAUCAUCGAUAAUAGGAACAAAAAUAAUCAGGAAGUUCAACAACCAAAGAAUAUACAGAAAUAAAAAAAAAACGCUACGAAAUUUAUGAAGUCAACUAAUCAACUCAUCGAAAUUACAUAUUUCGAUCUAACGGUACAGCCCAGCAACCGUUUCGUCAUUUUCCUUCAAAUUUAACGCAUUUUUAAAGGACCAAUGAAUCUUCCCGCAACGGAGACAUUAUGCAUCAUCAUAGAUAAUCGCUUCACAACAACUGUUCAUCGUUCUCGCGAGAGCAGUUUUUGCGUGAGUACACGGACACGUCCCACCGGAUAGGAAAGAGACUAGAUACUGCGAUAGAAACUAGAAGUUCAAGCUGCAACUUUAAGUCCCUUGUGAAUAAUCGCUGGCGAUUUCCUCGAAGCAAAAAUCUCUACAUUCAUAACGGCGCGUGAUAGUCGAUGACUGCCGCAGCUGGUCAAAGAUUGCAGAAAAUCCGCCCAAGCGACGAGAUAAAUUCUCUCGCGUGUGCCUCGUGGACGUACAAAACAAAUUAAAAGAAAGGGAAUAAAAAGAAAGAGAAAAGAGGGAAAAAUAAAAAAAACACAAGAACGGCGCUUAAAAGUACGAGAGGUGGUUGUUCGCCUGAGCACGCUGAUAAACGCUGAGUAAUGGGGACGCAAAUUACGUGCGAGGAAUACUGCGUGAGAAAUGAGUGCCCGAUGCAAAUUCUGCUGGCCGCUAGGACAAUGCAGCGACCGAUACUGCCGGAUACUGUAACUCUGUCUAAACGAUUCACCAUGAUCACGUGGACCGAGGAUAGGCUCACAAAGCAAAUCGGCCGUCCAUCGUCUCCGUGAUGAUCUGAGAGGAUGUACGUUAAUCCCAGGAGGAAUUAACCAAUUAGUACUGACGAUAGAGGAUUUGCACUAAGUUAAUACAACGAUGAAUAUCAAUACAACGGAGAUCACGGAUAGAUUACGUUAUUCGUCAACAAUGAUAGCUCUCAACUUUGUCCUCGUUAUGGACCAAGAUAUAUAAUCUGCAGGAUACUACAACACAUUAUAACAUUCAUGAAGCAUAUACGAAAUUUUAGACGGAUUACUCCUUAGCAACUCAAUGGCUUUUAACCUUGGUUUCACGAUGCAACAGCGUGGCGAUAUUAGGUCUGUAUAGACUACAUGAUAUCACGAGUCAGUGUGUACAAACUUUGCAGUACUACAAACCAGCAUGUAUAGUCUUCACAAUAAGAAGUGACUCAGCAAGUAAAGUAUCUGUUCGGUCUCUCCGGUAUCAAUUACACCUCACUUCCCGGAUUUGUUCCGAGAUUGACGCAGGCAGACUCUUCGCCGACGAAGUGACUGUGCGAUUAUUCGAAGAACAUACGUUCAGCUUUAAACGGAAGAAGUGGUUACCGCGUUGCUCUCGAGAUCCAGCGUAUCGGCGCGAGUGCGCACCUUUAAUCGUAUAG
This is a long non-coding RNA of Atta colombica, 2143 nucleotides long. RefSeq lists it as uncharacterized. The transcript is spliced from 4 exons. The record is from RefSeq and is a predicted model, not a curated record. Lineage: Eukaryota; Metazoa; Arthropoda; Insecta; Hymenoptera; Formicidae.